GGGAAAGUGAGUGUUUUUUAAAAAUUAUUUUUUCUGUUUUCUUUUAAUAGCCAAUACAUUCUCAAACUUAAAACAUCAGAGAGUAGAAGGAUAUAUGGUGAAAAUCUCUCUUUCGUGUUGCAUCUCCUUCAUUCUUCCACUUUCAACCCCCUUUCCCCCAUAAAACAGGUUCCAAAGGAAACCUCAAGUCCGGUAUAAGCAAAACAAUUCAUGAACAAAAUGGCUGUGAGCACAUUUCAUUUGCAAGACAGCACUAGAGGGCGCUCUUCAGCAGGUCUCAAGAUUAAGAAGCAAUAUCCUGAGAUACAUCUUUCUCUGAUAGAAAUUUUGUCUUGGGAAAAGCUUUGACCAGAUCGUAGUGACAGAAAUGAGAGGCUGGGCCAGUCUUUGGCGCCUGCCCUUGGCUCAGCGCCCGGUGCCAACAGAACACCUUUCAGGAUCCACAGCAACGCAGACAACGAGUCCAGGAUCCCGGCCUCUGCUUGGAACGGAACAGUGUCAUGGCGGAGACGACGGCCUUUGUCUUGCUGGGUGUGAAAGCAUCCGCUUUGCAGGCUCCACUGCGGCAGAAUCAAGUUUAAAGGAAAAAGUGAUUAAAGUCAGCUUUGUGCCUCUUUGGUGUGGAAGACCCCCAAACCCCAAGUAGCCGAGUCCCUGGGUCCGAGGAAGGGCUCAUAGUUGGAGCAGCCUAGGCUGUAAUCCUGGCACUUGCGCCUUCGGUUGCUGCUUGCUGUUCGCUCCUGGGGGUCUGGAUAAUCUCCCUUGGCUUUACCGCACUGUCUGGCCCGCAUACAGGGCCCCCGUAACAUAUACCCGCUGCUGCUAUCGCACGAAACUGUGGCGUUGCCCCUGAAUGGAUGGCACUGUGCCAACUCUUCUGCCAUCCGCCCUUGCAGCUUUUUUCUUUCCUGCCUCCCUCCCCUUCUUCUCCUCCUCCUCCCGUCGACUUGACGUUAAUUAACACACGGGUUAAUUGAUUUUAAAAGCCGAAGAAUUACAGUUAACUUUUCCCACAGGGUACAGACGCCAGCCGCUUGGCACACUCUGCCUUUCGCACUGGUGCAGGGGGGCAGGGAGAGCCCGCAGCAAACCUAGCAACUGCUGAGGGAACGUUGCCUGCUUAUUGGAGUAGCGCCGAUAGAAGUCGACGUGGCACUGCCUCGUCCUUACCGUAUGGAGAGCCAUUCUAUAUUUUGUUAAAUAAUCAAAGCACAACCCUGUCUUUCUUCUUCUCCUUUCCUCGUUCAAAACAGGAAAACCCUUCAGAAGUUCUUAUGGGGAAAAAAUAUCCCUCCCCCAAACUAUUUAUCUCAUCCAUAAUAUGCUUUUUUUCCAAUAAGAAGAAAAUACGUGAUGCCUGUUUUUUUUUAAUUACAAGAAGGAAAGCUACUCUUUCCCUAAACAUCACAGGCAAAGAAGAUUUUUUUAAAGAAAAAGUUCCAUAAAGUUUCUUUCUCUAUAUCUCAGUAUUUUGUUUUGUUUCUAUUCCCC
RNAcentral lists this long non-coding RNA (1491 nucleotides) under Equus asinus (donkey). Its description in RNAcentral is "lncRNA (ENSEASG00005033711.1)". Lineage: Eukaryota; Metazoa; Chordata; Mammalia; Perissodactyla; Equidae. The record is from RNAcentral.